UGAUCAUGGCUCAGAUUGAACGCUGGCGGCAGGCUUAACACAUGCAAGUCGAGCGGAGAGAGGUAGCUUGCUACUGAUCUUAGCGGCGGACGGGUGAGUAAUACUUAGGAAUCUGGCUAUUAGUGGGGGACAACAUUUCGAAAGGGAUGCUAAUACCGCAUACGUCCUACGGGAGAAAGCAGGGGAUCUUCGGACCUUGCGCUAAUAGAUGAGCCUAAGUCGGAUUAGCUAGUUGGUGGGGUAAAGGCCUACCAAGGCGACGAUCUGUAGCGGGUCUGAGAGGAUGAUCCGCCACACUGGGACUGAGACACGGCCCAGACUCCUACGGGAGGCAGCAGUGGGGAAUAUUGGACAAUGGGGGGAACCCUGAUCCAGCCAUGCCGCGUGUGUGAAGAAGGCCUUAUGGUUGUAAAGCACUUUAAGCGAGGAGGAGGGUACUGGUAUUAAUACUACCAGGUACUGGACGUUACUCGCAGAAUAAGCACCGGCUAACUCUGUGCCAGCAGCCGCGGUAAUACAGAGGGUGCGAGCGUUAAUCGGAUUUACUGGGCGUAAAGCGUGCGUAGGCGGCUAAUUGAGUCGGAUGUGAAAUC
This 593-nucleotide ribosomal RNA is filed under the name uncultured bacterium. RNAcentral's name for it is "bacterial SSU rRNA". It matches the Rfam family "Bacterial small subunit ribosomal RNA", at positions 14 to 601 of the family's 1533-position model. The record is from RNAcentral.